UAUCAUUUAAUUGGUUAAGUGAUGAUUAGAAGGCAUAUUGAUAUUAGAUUAUAUUAAUCUAAGAAGGAUUAUUAGUAAGAGUUAGUGGAGUGGUUAGAAUAAGAUAGAUUAUUGGAAUUGAACCAAGUGGCAAGGUGGUAAUUUCCACUCAAUUGGAGGGCUUAAUGGACUUAUGUAUUGCUUGCAUGUGGACAUAAUGGACAUUGGACUUUAAGUGCAUGAGCUUAAGUGUUGUUUGGCUUACACAUCAGAUUUUUAUGGUUGAAGUGGAGCAAUAGAAGCUUAUGUUCUUCCUCAUCACCUUCAUUUUCGCAACCUUUUGGCAGCCCUCACUAAACUGAUCAUAACUCUCUGCUCACAGCUCCGAUUGAGCGCGUUUGAAGUUGAUCAAUGGAUGCUGAAAAUAGGUGUAAAGUGGAAUACGGGUUUGAUGAAUUUGGAGUUGAAGUUUUGGUCAAGUUAGGAGCUCAAUUGCAGCAUGUUCAUCAUCCAAAGCUCCAUUGAUGCAAGGUGAGUCUCUAGUUAGAGACUUGGGGUUUUGUGGGGAAAUUGGAAUUUGGGGAAAAUUGGGGAUUUGUGUGAUAAAAAUCAUUGCAUGUUUGUUUAAUGGAUAAAAUAUGUGUUCUUUGAUGUGAUUAUAUGUUGUAGAAUGAUGAUACAUGAUGGAGUUUGAGUUUGGAUCAUUAGGGAACCUUAGGAAUGUUUUAGGAUGGUUUGGAACUGGUUUUAUGCAGGAAAAUACGUUUUUUGACUCUGCUUCAGUAGCAAAUCGUUUUGCAUGGGUUGUAAAUCGAUUUUCCUUCCUGAAAAUGUCAUUUUUGGGCUCUGCUACAGGUGUAAAUCGAUUGCAGUAAGAUGCAAAUCGAUUGCUUACUGACAGGAAAAUAGCUUUUAUUGUUUUGAUCAUAACUUGAGUUUCGUAACUCGAAAUGAAGCCCGGUCAGAAGCGUUGGAAAGGUCUUUUAAUGAUCUUUAUGAAUAUGCUUAGAUAUAAAGCUUUUAAUUGAUUUAAAAUUUAUGGAAAAUGGAUGUUUAGUUACAUGAUGUCGGAUUAACAUUUAUAGAAUCAAGAAUGGUAUGUUUAAUUCCCCAGAGUGCAGUUCCGUUCCAUGUCGGGAACCGGAAGCCUCUUUGUUAUGAGGCUAAUGUGUGUCCAUGUACGUUCUAAAUAAUUAUAUGGUUUGAUUAUGUUUAAUAUAUUCCAUGAUCGAAACAUAUUUAACUCACAUGUGACGAGUAUGUACAAAUGACAUGAUAUUUAUACGAUGGAUUUUGUCUAAUAUUAUGUGCAUAUAAUACAAUGUAAAUUGUUUUCCCGUCGUUCCGGUUGGACGUUCGGAUGCUUGAUUUUUGUGAACUUGCCUUGGUUGAAUAUGCGUGAAUCGGAGUAUAACCGUACUACUAGGAUAGUAAAUCCUGUUUACCCACUAUGUGGAUGCCCAUUGGUAGCCCGUGUGGCGUUUGUGUUAUGUAUUAUAUACCAUGGAUGAUUUGGCUUUAUGCCUGUUGUAUAUACGUGUCUAUAUCCGUAUAUUUUGCGUUACCUGAGCUACUAUUGCGGUGGAAGCAAGUGAGGGUCUUUAAUGGCGUUUCCCACUUGGUAACUCACCUGCGUGAUUAGUAUGGUAAGUGGGUGAUGCCACGUAGGCAAUCACUGAAUUACUUGCCUCUAGUAACGUCAAUUAGACAGUGUUACUAGGCUUUCUCCCGGUGGGCUUGUACGUCGAAGAGAAUGUAUUGCACCUGUUUACUCACUUGCGUAUAAAGGAUGAAUACCAUUGCAGUGGAAGCAAGACCGGGGUCUUUAAUGGCGUUUCCCACUUGGUAACUCACUGGCGUGCUUGGUGAUGAGGUUGUAAAUGCCACGUAGGCAAUGGUACAACUUAACUCAUCUCGGGUGGAAUUCCAUAUAGGAAUGACCCGAAUUCAUCGUGCGGUGUGCUUGUGCAAGUCUUUCGACAUAUAUGUACUUGGAUACUCAUCGAGGGUACGUGGCAGAGGUAGCCUAGUUAGAUGGGUAUAACUCCUUGAUUCCUCACAUAAGGAUGUGAGUUUGCAUAUUGUGAAUUGUUGUUUUAUUGAACGCCUCAUUGGAUAGUUAAGGGACUUCCAAUUGUGGUGAUACCCUUGUUUGUAUUUGCACCUAAACGUGAGGCAUAACCCCGGAUUCUAGGUGAAUCUUUUUAUGAUGCAUGUACCUUGUAGAACCGAGCAAACCCUUAAGAUAGGGAGGCUCACUGAGAUUUAGUAAUCUCACCCCAAUCAACUUAUUUUUUUUCCAGGUGCAGUUUAGUAGCGUUUGAUCAGUAGCAGGUUUGGACUGAAGACUUGGAAGUGAUGACGGCUCGGAGAUCUCGUCUGAUCUCAUCUUCCCGCCGUGCAGAUCCAUCGAGGACACAUUUUUUGUAAUUCUUAAUAGGAUUUCAUGUUGUAUUUUAUAUGGAUCUUUCUAUAACUAUCGCUUUUGUAUGUACUCAAUAUCAAUUUUAACGUUUCAUGCAUAAUAUACUAGUCAGUUAUGUAUGGGGUGUUACAGUUGGUAUCAGAGCAGGUCGAUUCUCGGCCGAGCCAUGAGACAUCACUAGCAAUUCUUUUUCUCCUCUCAAGUGUGCGUUGCCAGCCUGAUUUUACUGAUAUCUCAUUCAGUUGUUGAACUUGAUCAACUCAUCGACUGAGUGUGAGACAGUAGGAUUACGGUAGAGCCGCCACGAGGACUCGUAAACCUGUAGUGUCGAGAACCCAAGUAGAAAGGAUCAGUUGGGUGGUGGAUUGUAUAUGGAAGCUGGAUUUAUUGGACGACGUAAGUAGAAGGAAUAUUGGAGUUGUCAGGAUUAAGAGGAGCAUUUGACGCAAAGAAGUAAUACCCGAACUGUCAAGGUGUGGAUCGAGACAACUAGAACCCCCAGGAUUUGGAUGGGACAGAGUGAAACCUUCUCUAAGUCUUGGUAAUAGCAAGGGAAAGUCCGGACAGGACUGAGAAAGGGCCUUGUAAGUGAGAUUCUCCGAAGGUGUUGAGCUGGGAUUUAGUAGGAUUCAGUACUGAUGAUGCUGCCGGUGUUAAGUGCGACUGAUGAGUUGAUAGGACAGAAUAACCUUUGGAAGUGUGGACACAAAAGUUAGACCUUUCUGAUUGCGCUGGUACGGAUAGUAAUUGGAUGGGUGAAGUAUUAGAUCCUGAUUUAACUUGAAGUAACCUAAGCGAGAGUAGUUUCCUAGUGAAGGUUCGUGGAAUAUACGAACGUGGUAACUUACGAUUGGGCGAGGCUUGAAUACUCGGUCGAUGGAAGAGGAUGUGUAUUUCUAUUCUUAUCAUUUUAUAUUUAAGUUAUAGAACUACGCUAGAUGGAAUAUGAAAUGAUGUAGAAGCGUGAAAUGCAGUAACCUAAGUUCUUGUUAGUUGUUGUUCGUCUGACCCCGAGUGAAGCCAUAGAACUACGCUUGGCAUUGGGCGUUCAGGCGAGUAAGAACUAAGAUCUAUCUGGAACGUCAAUAGGAUGAUCGCAGUUGCGUUGGUUGUUAGGAACCAUAGUAUUCCUAUCUGGACUGAAUUAUCCUUGGAAUCUCAUGCAUGCGUGGGACGAGUGGGUACACGCACUGCAUGGUAAUCCGAAGUUGAACUUCAAUCUUCGUGCUUGGCGUUUUGGCCUUCCGAAUAAGUAACCUUGAUGUGUAGCAAUCUUAGGUUUUAGCAUCCUAAGGAGUGUGAUUCGAAAGACUUGAGGAACGAUGAACCUAUUGGAGGCCUGUUCAGACACUUGUCGGUUGUGACUUUAGGAUACGCGUGGAUAUCGUUAUACGCCACAGAGGUAGGUUACCUGGAUACAUGGUCUCGGAGUUGAACCACCAUGUUGGUACUACCAGACGGGUAUAAUGCCACAGUAUCGCUAUCGUGCACAAGAUGCGUGAGUCAUCCUUUUUCCGACAUGUGUGGGACAAAGGUGAUCUGAAGCUCAAGGUAGAAUUCUGAUUUGGCACUCAUGAGACACAGAUCCAGACUCUCAUAAGGUAUGUAGGAUAAGGAUUCAUACGUCGCGCUCGAUAGUAGAGGAAUAACUAGACAGGCGAUGGUGAGAUGGAUCAAGAUCCGAUACUAUGCUUAUAGAGACUCUGAAUGAUCAUGCUCGCGCAAGUUAGAGACAGAUUAUACCUUGCAAACGUUCUCGUUUCAUGAAGUGUUAAGUUGGCAAUUUUGCAUGAGUGUCUAGAGUGGGACUCAUGUGCGGUCAUGAUACCCUGGUCAGCAUAGUGAGUGACUAUCAUGUAUCAUUGGCAACCGGUGAUGGAAUAUGCAAAUUGUAUCUUGGAAUAAUUUUAUGUGUGACGUAUCUGGUAGAGUUUCUAUAGAUACUCUGAGUGAAGAAAUGUCAAUCUUGGUAAAGCAUAGACAUUUUUGGUUUGAGAACUUCUGAGGAGUUUAUAAGAGAGAUGUUCGAAAUUCAAAGUACAAUUUCUCGCAUUGUGACUACACUCCGACCGUUGGAAGCACUGCAAUGAAGGAUGCAGCCGCCGAGGAAGUCAGUUUAAUGCCAGAUUCAGCGGUAGAGCAGACAUUAGAUGAAUGUGUGGAUGGAGUGUGGCUAUGAGGGGAUUGUUAUAUCAGUAAGUCUCACAAGUUAUCAGAGGUGACUCUGCGCUAAGAGAAUGAAGCCGUUUGGUUGGGAAGAAGCGAUGCUAAACCGACGGAGUUAUCGUAAGCUGCGAAGCGUUGGUGAAAGAAUCAUUAUAACGGUUGAGUAACAAGACUUGUUGUAAGGAAAAAAAAACAUAUCAGUUGUACGCUGUGGAAAUCAGUGACAAGGACGAACCCCUAAGUCAGUGGGUAUUUGGGUUUCAAUGUCCUGAGAUCGAAAAGUGUGCCUAAGUUAUGGUAGAUGAACUAAUAUGGAAUGGCAGAGUAAGUAGAAACUUGAUUCUAGAGAGUACGCAACUUCGAGGAGUAGUAGUCGACAAUGGAUGUAUAUGGAGUUCUGCCACGUGUUGUAAUUGGACAACUAUGGAUAAGGAAUUAUUGUGUAUUAAAGGAAGCCAAGUGAAUUAUGGAUAUAACGUGACUCAGAGGAUUUCAAGGUGUGUGACUUGUUGGAAUCAGAGUAGCGCAAAGGAUCAAGGAAGAAUCAGAUAAGUCUGAGGUAGGAACGAACAGACUAUUUGUAGGAUUUUAUGUUGGAAUGAAGGUAUCUUCCUAAGGGAAAUUGUCGAAGCGGCGUUUCGUUCAUUCCAGUCUCUAAAGGAUCACCAUAACUCGAGAGGUGUUGUCAAUGGGCCAGCUUGGGAAUACAUUUGGUGGAAGGUAUGCGGUCCGAAGUUCGUAGGUCAUCCGUUUAGCUUGUAUGUCACAAGGGUUGGACUAAGUAUUGUGACCGCUGAAAUGUUGAAGACCAGUGAGGAUUCUCAAUUGGCGCAAGUUCUUCGUGGUUAUGUCUUGUGCACUGUGAGCGUGCGUGAAGAGUUGGACAAUGGUCGUCGGGUAGCGUUUGGAAUUCACCGUUCAUCGGUGGAACCUUGGGUGAAGUUGUGGAAUGCUACAACAUCAUGGAUUGCGGUAAUGAUUGAUACAUCUAGGACUGAGGUGAGAAUCGAUUAAGGAGGAUCAGUUGUAUAAGUAGAGGUAAACUUGGGACAACCGUCCUAAGACUUUGGGAACCGGAAGUUGAGACUAAGACAUUUGGCUAACGCCUAAUGACAAUGUAUGGACUCGAGUGGAGAAAAAUUUGAAGUGUUAUCGCAGAAGUGACGUUGUGGCAGUAAUUCUCAAACGGGAAGUAAUUCAAGGAGCUGAGUGGAUCAGUAAUGUUUGUCGAAUGAGGGUGAGCAUAUUAGAGAAUGAAAUGAAGGAUAUCCAACAUGAGUGGAUUAUUAGAGUUUCUGAAGUUCUAGGGAUUCAGUGCAGAGCAGUGAAGGUCAAGGACCCUGGAAGGAUCUUUCCCCAGAUAUGUCAAGAUGAAGUAUCUGGAUAGACGUGUUGCUUGAGAGUCAAGGUUCUAACCAUGCAUAGUGGGACGCAGGUGUUUUGGCAGAUUGUGUUUCUUCAUAUGGAAUGACCCUCAGACAGAGUAAUGAGAUUAUCUGAAGAGAAAUGUAAGGAACAUUUCAUCCCCUGGUUGGUAUAGAUUUGGACACGUUGUUUCCGUGGUGACCGGAAAGAAUUCGAGGACGAAUUCAAUUUAAGGGGGGGAGAAUGUAAUACCCCGAUUCUCCGACACAAGUUAAUUAUCAUUUAAUUGGUUAAGUGAUGAUUAGAAGGCAUAUUGAUAUUAGAUUAUAUUAAUCUAAGAAGGAUUAUUAGUAAGAGUUAGUGGAGUGGUUAGAAUAAGAUAGAUUAUUGGAAUUGAACCAAGUGGCAAGGUGGUAAUUUCCACUCAAUUGGAGGGCUUAAUGGACUUAUGUAUUGCUUGCAUGUGGACAUAAUGGACAUUGGACUUUAAGUGCAUGAGCUUAAGUGUUGUUUGGCUUACACAUCAGAUUUUUAUGGUUGAAGUGGAGCAAGAGAAGCUUAUGUUCUUCCUCAUCACCUUCAUUUUCGCAACCUUUUGGCAGCCCUCACUAAACUGAUCAUAACUCUCUGCUCACAGCUCCGAUUGAGCGCAUUUGAAGUUGAUCAAUGGAUGCUGAAAAUAGGUGUAAAGUGGAAUACGGGUUUGAUGAAUUUGGAGUUGAAGUUUUGGUCAAGUUAGGAGCUCAAUUGCAGCAUGUUCAUCAUCCAAAGCUCCAUUGAUGCAAGGUGCAGUUUAGUAGCGUUUGAUCAGUAGCAGGUUUGGACUGAAGACUUGGAAGUGAUGACGGCUCGGAGAUCUCGUCUGAUCUCAUCUUCCCGCCGUGCAGAUCCAUCGAAGACACAUUUUUUGUAAUUCUUAAUAGGAUUUCAUGUUGUAUUUUAUAUGGAUCUUUCUAUAACUAUGGCUUUUGUAUGUACUCAAUAUCAAUUUUAACGUUUCAUGCAUAAUAUACUAGUCAGUUAUGUAUGAGGUGUUACAGUUGGUAUCAGAGCAGGUUGAUUCUCGGCCGAGCCAUGAGACAUCACUAGCAAUUCUUUUUCUCCUCUCAAGUGUGCGUUGCCAGCCUGAUUUUACUGAUAUCUCAUUCAGUUGUUGAACUUGAUCAACUCAUCGACUGAGUGUGAGACAGUAGGAUUACGGUAGAGCCGCCACGAGGACUCGUAAACCUGUAGUGUCGAGAACCCAAGUAGAAAGGAUCAGUUGGGUGGUGGAUUGUAUAUGGAAGCUGUAUUUAUUGGACGACGUAAGUAGAAGGAAUAUUGGAGUUGUCAGGAUUAAGAGGAGCAUUUGACGCAAAAAAGUAAUACCCGAACUGUCAAGGUGUGGAUCGAGACAACUAGAACCCCCAGGAUUUGGAUGGGACAGAGUGAAACCUUCUCUAAGUCUUGGUAAUAGCAAGGGAAAGUCCGGACAGGACUGAGAAAGGGCCUUGUAAGUGAGAUUCUCCGAAGGUGUUUGUCAUACCCCAAUUUUUGACCUAAGAUACCACCCCAUAUCAUUUGCAUAUGCAUCUCUAACAAACUGCAUAGCUUGUGUUUGUUACUUGUGACUCAGCAGGAUUUAAUCAGGAAAUCACUCAUCAGUACAAGUAACAAUCAAUUAGGGUUUUGUUCUCCCUUCAUCUCAAAAGAACUAUCUUCAUCAACAACCAACAUUUGGUCCCCAGAGAUUCACUUCAACAAACUCAACAGCUUUGAAUCGACUGAAUUAGGGUUUUGACUGAAGAUAGCAUACUCCUGACUUUUGCCCACGAUUUGACCUAAAGACUUGGGACAUGACCUCAAGACCCCAAGUGCAUCAUUUUGACCUAAUCCAUUGGCUCAGAACAUCUCUUACACAAAGAUUGAUCAGACAAAUCCUCAGAAUUAGGGUUUUGAACUAUCAGGGACUGAAAUCAGGGAUCACAUUUGGGAAACCCUAAAAAUCCCCAGGAAGUCAAUCAAAGGUUUCAAUCAUCUUCAAAUAAUCCCUAUGACAAUAUACAAUGGAAAUUGUACCUCAAUUCAAGAUCCACAGUCAUCAAUUUCAUCUGGUUGACAAUUAGGGUUUUUGACCUGAUUCACUGAACAACUGACUUUUUAAUCAGGACAUGGUGUCAUAACUCAAACUAUGGCUCAAUAUCCUCUAAUGCUUCAAUGUGAUCCAUUCAUACCAUUCAUUUGGUGAGGAUAGCCUACUUCAUUUGAAAUCUCCAGAAACACGAUUCGUUUGAAAAAGUCCACUGUAUAAGAUCACCAUUGACUUUUGGGGAAUUUUGGUCAACCAUGACUUUUGAAGUUUUAAAUCAUCAAUAUAUGAUAUGAGAAGUCAUUUGAUCAAGGAAAAUCAAGAAAAUCAAUCAAGAAUCAAAAGUCAAAAGUUUGACUUUUCAUACUUAGAAAAAUUUCUAAGUGUUUUUCAAUGGUUUUUCCCAAACUUUGGAAGGGAAUAACUCAAAAUUUCACCUACAAACUGAAAAACACUUCCAACAUGAAAGUUGUAGAUUUUGAUCCAAUAAACAACUUUGACACAUAUAAAUUUUUUCCAUAAGAUCAACCAUUUAAGAGAUAUGGUGCUUCAAAGUUGGUAUCUUUGGAAAAUUUCACUUAAAACUUCAUUUUCUUCAAAGUUCAUGGAUCUUUUUCAUCCACUUCCUUAAAGAUCUUGAAGAAACUUUCAACUAGGGUUUUGAAGUGUGUCAUAUGAGCUUUCCAAAAUGUCCAAGAGCAUGAAAAAAUUUGAAGUGUAGCUAUGGUUUUGAAUUUUGACAUUAGUGAACUUUUCACUUGAAAUUUCAUGCCAUUUUCACUAAGUUAUGAGCCAAUUUGCCAAAUGAUCCAAAUAAUGAUGCAUAGAGGCAAUAAUUGGAGAUAUUUUUCUGAUUUGAGAUCAGAAUAGAAGAGGAUAAGAAGCUUGAGUUUUAACCAUGGUUUGGUCACUUUAACCAUUUUGCAUUAAAUGUAAAAGAUUCCUUUUUAUCUCUUAAGCCAAAUCAUCAUUCUUGAAUCAACUUGCAAGGGCUUUGAGUUCAGAAUCCUUGGCCUAUAAAUAGAGGUUCAAAUCAUCUUCAAACUCACACCAAAACCUCAUAAACAUAGGUUUUCUCUUCCUUUCUUAGAAUGCAAGUUUCAUGGUUUUCAAAAGAGGUAAAAUUCUCAACCUCUAAAUCUUUGAAGUUCUAAGUAAAGUGAUGCUUCCAACACUUCCCAAAUAUCAUAUGGAUGUUGUUUGAACCUUUGAAACCUUCCAAAAACAUCAAAAACUCAGAAUCACUACCUCACUUCCCAAAUAUGCAUAACACUAGCCUUAUCAUGCCAAAAUCAAAUCCAGGCCAAUUCUGUCCAAGCUAAUCAUCCAAACACAUUCCAUAUACCAUAUAUGAACUGUUCCAACCAUCAUACAUGAUCUGAAACACCAAAAUCACUAAGCUUGAUCCUCACUUGAACCAUACUGCAGAUCGAGUACCAUGGAUUGAUCAAGAGGUUUUCAAAUUGUUCCAGGCAUCCAAACAUGUUCCAUAAGGUCCACUGAAGGUGUUCAGAUCAAGAAACAACAUCUGGAAUCCCUCAUUUGCAGAAUUCGAUUUCCAGUUUUGCCAUUUUUAAGGUAAGCCCUCUUGAACUUCAAACUCAUACAUACACGCAUCAUAAAUGAAAUAUUGCUUUUCCAUCAUGUUUCUGCAUACAUAUGGAUCAUUAACCCUCAAUCAAUUGCAUCAUAACUUGCACAUACACGAUUUCAGAUUGAAUCAUAGAAUUAGGGUUCUUCGUGUUCAUCAGAAAAUUAAUGAUCUUAGAGUGAAAAUAAAUGAAAUUAAAGGUCACCAUCAUUUUCCUUGUGAAAAACCGAGUGAAAUAGACCCUUUGAUCGAUCAAAACAACACAGAUUUGAAGAAGUUCAAAAUUCAGUUAGGGUUGUGUUCUUGGCGCGUUUUUUCGUUCAAAGAAUUCAAAUAUUUGUUUUAAAAUAUAAUGCAUUGGAAGCGUAUGAAUAACAAGCUGCACGCGCAGCUCGCUUGGUUCAUGUUUUGAGUAGUAAACACAAGGGCGUGGGUUCAAGCCCUUUGGAAGACAAAACCUUUUUUUUAUCACUAUUUUUCUCUAUUUUCUUCACAAACUUCACCAAUUAAUUUAACCCAUCAAAUUAAUUUAUUUUCUCUUCAUUUUUUACACACCUCUUAUUUAAUAUACAUAUUUUGACAAUAUCAAAA
Vicia villosa (hairy vetch) is the source of this 10185-nucleotide long non-coding RNA. RefSeq lists it as uncharacterized. The record is from RefSeq and is a predicted model, not a curated record. The transcript has 4 exons. NCBI's taxonomy places the organism in Eukaryota, Viridiplantae, Streptophyta, Magnoliopsida, Fabales, Fabaceae.